UCCUACGGGAGGCAGCAGUAGGGAAUCUUCCGCAAUGGACGAAAGUCUGACGGAGCAACGCCGCGUGAGUGAUGAAGGCUUUCGGGUCGUAAAACUCUGUUGUUAGGGAAGAACAAGUGCUAGUUGAAUAAGCUGGCACCUUGACGGUACCUAACCAGAAAGCCACGGCUAACUACGUGCCAGCAGCCGCGGUAAUACGUAGGUGGCAAGCGUUAUCCGGAAUUAUUGGGCGUAAAGCGCGCGCAGGUGGUUUCUUAAGUCUGAUGUGAAAGCCCACGGCUCAACCGUGGAGGGUCAUUGGAAACUGGGAGACUUGAGUGCAGAAAAGGAAAGUGGAAUUCCAUGUGUAGCGGUGAAAUGCGUAGAGAUAUGGAGGAACACCAGUGGCGAAAGCGACUUUCUGGUCUGUAACUGACACUGAAGGCCGAAAGCGUGGGGAGCAAACAGGAUUAAAUACCCUGGUAGCCCCCCCCGUAAACAAUGAAUGCUAAAUGUUAAAGGGUUUCCCCC
Molecule: ribosomal RNA, 510 nt
Filed under: bacterium A5M_VP8_E2
Lineage: Bacteria
Description: bacterial SSU rRNA
Rfam family: Bacterial small subunit ribosomal RNA
Source: RNAcentral